Molecule: ribosomal RNA, 259 nt
Filed under: uncultured bacterium
Lineage: Bacteria
Description: partial 16S ribosomal RNA
Rfam family: Bacterial small subunit ribosomal RNA
Source: RNAcentral
UACGUAGGGUCCGAGCGUUGUCCGGAAUUACUGGGCGUAAAGAGCUCGUAGGUGGUUUGUCGCGUUGUUCGUGAAAAACUCACAGCUCAACUGUGGGCGUGCGGUCGAUACGGGCAUCACUGGAGUUCGGCAGGGGAGACUGGAAUUCCUGGUGUAGCGGUGAAAAUGCGCAGAUAUCAGGAGGAACACCGGUGGCGAAGGCGGGGUCUCUGGGCCGAUACUGACGCUGAGGAGCGAAAAGCGUGGGGGAGCGAACAGG